UUCCCCGGAUACAGAACCUAAGCAGCUUGACUCCCCCUCCUUGAUCGCGCUGAGCUUCAGCUAGGGCUGGGUGGCAGAAUAUAGGCAGUGCCAAAAGCAACUAGAAGACUGGUCCUGAUCCUUCUCCUCUAAGGUGCAGUAAAUGCUUCUCUGGUCCCGUGUGCGAAGUCCAGCACUAAGAUCACUGCCUGCAUGGUCCCCCUCAACCAUCUAGAGAUACUGCAACUGAAUCAUCAAAAGACAGAGAACUUUAAAAGCACUAGGAGAAAACUCUUGUCCCAUAACACAGACCUUGGACGGAAACUGGAGAGGGGAAGAUGAUGAGCUCAGAAUUCUAAAAGAAAAGAAAAGCUGUCACCCAAGCAAACCUGGAGAAGCUGUCCCUCGAGGAUAGGACAGGCUGGAGAGAUGGCUCAGCAGCUCAGAACACCUGCUGCUCUUGGAAAGGACCUGAGUUCAGUUCCCAGCACUUACAUGUUGGCUAGAACCUGCCCAUAAUUCCAGUUCCGGGGAAUCGAACACCUUCAUCUAGCCCAAUGGUUCUCAACCUGUGGGCUGCAAUCCCUUUGGGGGUUGCAUAUCAGAUGUCUUGCACAACAGAUAUUUAGAUUACAAUUCAUAACAGUCACAAAAUUACAGUUAUGAAGUAGCUGCAAAGUAAUUUUAUGGUUGGGGUGUCACCACAACAUGAGGAACAGUAUUAAAGGGUCACAGCACUAAGAAGGUUGAGGACCACUGUUCUAGGCUCUGCAAGCUUCUGCAUGCACCCAAUACACAUACAUACAGGUAGGCAACAUACUGAUAUGCAUCUGAAAUUUUAAACAUUUAAAAAAGAAAUAAGUGAGAUAAACACAUUGUCAGAAACAAAGCAGAGAGGAUCAUCAGCACUGGCCAUGACUUGUAAGACCCACCUCAUAAGGAACCCUGGUGAUUACUCAAGUUUGAAUGGCAGGGAGCCAGAUACUAGUAGUAGCAGACAGAAAACUCACUGGUGAGCAUUCAGAGGUGAACUCUGAAUGCAGUUAACACUGGAAGGAGGGUGGGCAGGCAAAGCAACUGGAGUUCACAGGCUAGUGGAUAAAAGAACUGUAACCACCACAUCGUGUUAUUAAAAAAAAGAUACAACAUAUGGCAUUACUAUAAAAAGAUGUCGGGAAAAGUGGAAGUGUAGUUUUGCAUGUUUUUGAAGUUAUCUGCUUUAAGACAGGCCAUUUUAACUACAAUGUUUUAUGUAAGUUUCACAGUUACCACACACAAAAGGAAAACUUGAAUAAAUAAGAAAUGGUGAGAAAUCACAGCACGUGGCUGCAAAAGAAUAAGCAUCACACACACACACACACACACACACACACACACACACACACACACACACACAGGCAUAUACACAGUCAUAAAAACAAAACAAAAACAGAAAACCAAGUCGUAUGUGACAAUGUUCAUGAACUCAGAGGACAAUGAGCCAGACACACAGCACGCGGCACAGCCUCACAUGUGGAAGGCAGAGCAUCACAUUUACAGAAGCAGAAAGCAGCGUGGUAGUUACCAGAGGCUGAGGGGUGAGGGCAACCGGAGUCGGGAGAGGCUGUCAAACACAGCCUGAGUCAGCUCUAAGACUGAGAGCCGUGAGGAGCCAGCAUGCUGCGCGUGACUGUUGCUAACCAUUCUGCCUGGAAUCGCUGGAAAGGGUAGGGAGUAAGUGUUCCUCCCCCACCACACACUAAAAAGACAAGUGUGAGGUUCUGGAUUCGGCAAUUACUUUGACUGGGGUAAUCUUUUCACAUUGCAUACAUAUAUUGAAGGACAAAUUGUAUAUCUAACGUAUAUCAAAUUUGCGUUAGUUAUACCUCAAACUGAAACAUCAAAAUGUCCCAUUUAUUUAUUUAUUUAUUUAUUUAUUUAUUUAUUUAUUUAUUUAUUUAUUU
Peromyscus maniculatus bairdii (prairie deer mouse) is the source of this 1922-nucleotide non-coding RNA. NCBI's taxonomy places the organism in Eukaryota, Metazoa, Chordata, Mammalia, Rodentia, Cricetidae. The record is from RefSeq and is a predicted model, not a curated record.